GAUGUAGACAUAUAAGAAGAGGAGUCAACCAAAGGAGAUAUUUUUGUGUACAGGCAGAAGGCAUCACGGACUGGCAAGACAGCAGAGGUGCUACGGGAGAUCCUUGAGGCUUAUGACCUUCAGGAGGAAGAGGAGCCAGAUUUUGAUGAUGCUCCUGUUGCUCUCCUUACAUCGGGUCCCGACCCCUUCAGCUGCGAGAACAUCUUUGAAUUGGGUGCAGAGGUUUUCUGAGGCAUUUAUGUUGUUGUUUGGCCUGACAUAUGCUUUCAAUUUAGAAUAUCCCAAAAAACUCACGCACACAUUCUCAUACAG
Molecule: long non-coding RNA, 312 nt
Organism: Clupea harengus (Atlantic herring)
Lineage: Eukaryota; Metazoa; Chordata; Actinopteri; Clupeiformes; Clupeidae
Source: Ensembl